UCAGUGAUCCCAGUGCUGAUUUUGGUGAUCCCAGUGCUGAAUUCAGUGAUCCCAGUGAUCCCAGUGCUGAUUUCAGUGAUCCCAGUGCUGAAUUCAGUGAUCCCAGUGCUGAUUUUGGUGAUCCCACUGCUGAUUUCAGUGAUCCCAGUGCUGAUUUUGGUGAUCCCAGUGCUGAAUUCAGUGACCCCAGUGCUGAAUUCAGUGACCCCAGUGCUGAUUUCGGUGAUCCCAGUGCUGAUUCCUCCAUCCCAGUGAUCCCAGUGAUCCCAGUGCUGAAUUCAGUGAUCCCAGUGAUCCCAGUGCUGGAUUCCCUGUUCCCAGUGCUGAUUCCCUCCACCCCACUGAUUCCUCACGGAGCAGGGUGUGAAAUGAAGCACUCCUGGGAAGGUGGGAGCCAUUCCCAGUAACCACUGCCCCAUCCUGACUGGAAAAGCUCCCUCCUGGUUCCCUCCUGUUCCCUCCUGUCCCUGCCUUUCUCCUGGAGCCCCAGAGCGCCUCCAUCC
RNAcentral lists this long non-coding RNA (503 nucleotides) under Zonotrichia albicollis (white-throated sparrow). RNAcentral's name for it is "lncRNA (ENSZALG00000001742.1)". The record is from RNAcentral. Lineage: Eukaryota; Metazoa; Chordata; Aves; Passeriformes; Passerellidae.